RNAcentral lists this ribosomal RNA (1326 nucleotides) under Remispora stellata. RNAcentral describes it as "eukaryotic LSU rRNA". It matches the Rfam family "Eukaryotic large subunit ribosomal RNA", at positions 71 to 1316 of the family's 3401-position model. Lineage: Eukaryota; Fungi; Ascomycota; Sordariomycetes; Microascales; Halosphaeriaceae. The record is from RNAcentral.
GGGAUUGCCCUAGUAACGGCGAGUGAAGCGGCAACAGCUCAAAUUUGAAAUCUGGCGCUUGCGUCCGAGUUGUAAUUUGCAGAGGAUGCUUCUGGCAAAGUGCCUUCCGAGUUCCCUGGAACGGGACGCCAUAGAGGGUGAGAGCCCCGUACGGUCGGUUGCUGCGCCGCUGUGAAGCGCCUUCGACGAGUCGAGUAGUUUGGGAAUGCUGCUCUAAAUGGGAGGUAAACUCCUUCUAAAGCUAAAUAUUGGCCAGAGACCGAUAGCGCACAAGUAGAGUGAUCGAAAGAUGAAAAGCACUUUGAAAAGAGAGUCAAACAGCACGUGAAAUUGUUGAAAGGGAAGCGCUUGUGACCAGACUUGGGCUUGGUAGUUCAGCCGUCCUUCUGGGCGGUGCACUCUGCCGGUUCAGGCCAGCAUCAGUUGUCGGUUGGGGAGAAAGAUGGCGGGAACGUGGCUCUUCGGAGUGUUAUAGCCCGCCAUUAUGCCCUUCUGGCGACUGAGGAUANCGAGCGUUCUGCACGGAUGCUGGCGUAAUGGUUAUCAGCGACCCGUCUUGAAACACGGACCAAGGAGUCAUCCUAAUAUGCGAGUGUUUGGGUGUUAAACCCCUACGCGGAAUGAAAGUAAACGGAGGUGAGAGCUUCGGCGCAUCAUCGACCGAUCCUGAUGUUUUCGGAUGGAUUUGAGUAAGAGCAUAUUGGGCUGGACCCGAAAGAAGGUAGGCAUCUCCGCCGUAAAAGGAAAAAUUUGAGAAAAUAUGCUAACGAAACGAAAUAGGUGAACUAUGCUUGGAUAGGGCAAAGCCAGAGGAAACUCUGGUGGAGGCUCGCAGCGGUUCUGACGUGCAAAUCGAUCGUCAAAUCUGAGCAUGGGGGCGAAAGUAAGUUGGACUCGGUCCCUCCAGGGCAGAAGAAUCAAUGCUAACAAAAAUUACAGGACUAAUCGAACCUUCUAGUAGCUGGUUUCCGCCGAAGUUUCCCUCAGGAUAGCAGUGCUGAUCUCAGUUUUAUGAGGUAAAGCGAAUGGAUUAGGGACUCGGGGGCUUAUUAUGGCCUUCAUCCAUUCUCAAACUUUAAAUAUGUAAGAAGCCUUCGUUACUUUAGUGAACGGAGGCAUUAGAAUGUACAGCACUAGUGGGCCAUUUUUGGUAAGCAGAACUGGCGAGCNGGAAUGAACCGAUCGCGAGGUUAAGGUGCCGGAGUGGACGCUCAUCAGACACCACAAAAGGUGUCGUCACAUCUUGACAGCAGGACGGUGGCCAUGGAAGUCGGAAUCCGCUAAGGACUGUGUAACAACUCACCUGCCGAAUGUGACGGCCCUGAA